GGAGUCUGGGCCGUGUCUCAGUCCCAAUGUGGCCGUCCACCCUCUCAGGCCGGCUACCGAUCGUCGCUUUGGUGGGCCUUUGCCCCGCCAACUGGCUAAUCGGACGCGGGCCCAUCCCUUGGCGGCGGCCCUAGGGCCGCUUUUCCUGCCCCGGCCAUGCGGCCGGGACACCUUACGCGGUAUUAGCACCGCUUUCGCGGUGUUGUCCCCCUCCAAGGGGCAGGUUGCCCACGCGUUACUCACCCGUUCGCCACUUGGGCUAUACUAGCAAGCUACUAUAGCCCCCGUUCGACUUGCAUGUGUUAGGCGCGCCGCCAGCGUUCGUC
Molecule: ribosomal RNA, 326 nt
Filed under: uncultured Lachnospiraceae bacterium
Lineage: Bacteria; Bacillati; Bacillota; Clostridia; Lachnospirales; Lachnospiraceae
Description: partial 16S ribosomal RNA
Source: RNAcentral